UACAGAGGUCCCGAGCGUUGUUCGGAUUCACUGGGCGUAAAGGGUGCGUAGGUGGUGAGGUAAGUCGGAUGUGAAAUCUCCGGGCUCAACCCGGAAAUGGCAUUGGAAACUACCUUGCUGGAGGAUUUGAGGGGGGAUUGGAAUACUUGGUGUAGCAGUGAAAUGCGUAGAUAUCAAGUGGAACACCAGUGGCGAAGGCGCAUCCCUGGAAAAUACCUGACACUGAGGCACGAAAGCUAGGGGAGCAAACAGG
RNAcentral lists this ribosomal RNA (253 nucleotides) under uncultured bacterium. RNAcentral's name for it is "partial 16S ribosomal RNA". It matches the Rfam family "Bacterial small subunit ribosomal RNA", at positions 524 to 776 of the family's 1533-position model. The record is from RNAcentral.